Molecule: long non-coding RNA, 1032 nt
Organism: Ailuropoda melanoleuca (giant panda)
Lineage: Eukaryota; Metazoa; Chordata; Mammalia; Carnivora; Ursidae
Exons: 3
Source: RefSeq, a predicted model, not a curated record
UGCCAGCCUCCAAACAGCCCAUCCUUGAGCUCGUCUUCCGUUAUCUGUGUCCACAGUCACCAUCGGUUUCAGCAAAGCAACUCACUCAUCACAUUAAAUGUGUCCAGUGAAGGCUGGCUUCUAAAAACACCCACCAGGACGCAGCCGAAGUGGGGAGUGUCGGCAAGGGCCUCAGAGCAACAUGCUCCGUGUCUGUGGUCGGCCGGGGGGACCUUGUGCAAGAGAGAGAGAGAGAGAGAGCGCGCGCGCGCCUGCCAAGCAGCCCGUCAUCUGUCUGCCAGAGCAAAGUGGGCUCGAGGACAGGCUACCGUGAGGUCUGCCCUCUGCAGGACAUGAGGCCAGGGAAGCCCUUUGUGUGUGUUUAAUUCUGCGUCCUCAGGACCCAUCAAGAAGGUCGGGAAUGGGCGUCCUCAUGGGCAUGACAAGGAUAGCAGUUUGCUGGGACAGAUGUCUUCUGGGGAAAUUCGCCAUGCUCUGAGGCUCAGUCCUGGGGUGCGUCGGUUCCUGAGCACCCCCUCUCCCACCGUGGCACCAACAAGACAAUUCAAACAAUGGUCAGAAACCAUGGCCGGCUCCUAACAUGCGUUCAGCCACACGAGAGGAGUCACAAGCUCUUUGGUACACCGUGGGUGGUUUCAGAGUGCACGUGGCUGCAUCUGAAUUCACCAAAUAGAGAUGUGAGAUUGAUCUUUUGAAAUGUGUGGUGCCUUCAGUGAGUCAUUCUGAUAGAUGUAAACAGGCCGCCAAAUCCCUUCCCGGCUUCAAUGACGCCUGUAGCUGGGCCAGUGUCGUCAUCAGCAUGACUUCCCUGGACAGUAGUCUCCCCUCUGAUGUCAAGGAGGAAUCAAAACACCGGAGAAGAUGUCUUUUGAAAAUAAAACAUGAAAAACUCAAUAUUUUGAGUUCUUCUCCCAGGAAGAUGUAAUGUAAAAGGAGCACAUGAAUAAACUUAUUUUAGGAACCGAAAUGACUUCAAGUGGGAAGUCUCAAGCCUUGCCAGCAAUGAGUCACGCAUGCAGUGUUUGUAACACU